UCUCCACCUCUUCAUUCCGGGAUGAAGCUCAAGUCACUCUAUCUGUCCAGUGGUCAGAGGGACGUCAGCCACUGAGGAGUAAUAAAAUACUAGAGAAGGCUCUUCAGACAUGGGUCAAUAAAAAACAAAUGAAUGGAAACUACUCAGUUUCCAAAGUCUCAGAAGAUGGGAGAGCUGUGAUUAAGAUUAAACCAAGACCAGGUAUAAAACAAGACAUGACCGAGGGAUUUCAUAACCCAGCACCUAGCUGCUGUUUUUAACUGUCUCAAAGAUAUUAAAUGUUGGAUGGCCCAAAGUUUU
Long non-coding RNA from Labrus mixtus (cuckoo wrasse), 300 nucleotides. RefSeq lists it as uncharacterized. Lineage: Eukaryota; Metazoa; Chordata; Actinopteri; Labriformes; Labridae. The record is from RefSeq and is a predicted model, not a curated record. The transcript is spliced from 3 exons.